AGAGUUUGAUCCUGGCUCAGGAUGAACGCUGGCGGCGUGCUUAACACAUGCAAGUCGAACGAUCCUUCGGGAUAGUGGCGGACGGGUGAGUAACGCGUGGGAAUCUGCCCUCAGGAGGGGGAUAACGGCUGGAAACGGCCGCUAAUACCCCAUAUGCCGAGAGGUGAAAUGAAUUUCGCCUGAGGAUGAGCCCGCGUCUGAUUAGCUAGUUGGUGGGGUAAAGGCCUACCAAGGCGACGAUCAGUAGCUGGUCUGAGAGGAUGAUCAGCCACACUGGGACUGAGACACGGCCCAGACUCCUACGGGAGGCAGCAGUGGGGAAUUUUCCGCAAUGGGCGAAAGCCUGACGGAGCAACGCCGCGUGUGGGAUGAAGGCCUCUGGGCUGUAAACCUCUUUUCUCAAGGAAGAAGACCUGACGGUACUUGAGGAAUAAGCCACGGCUAAUUCCGUGCCAGCAGCCGCGGUAAUACGGGAGUGGCAAGCGUUAUCCGGAAUUAUUGGGCGUAAAGCGUCCGCAGGCGGCCUUGUAAGUCUGUUGUUAAAGCGUGGAGCUCAACUCCAUUUAAGCAAUGGAAACUACAAGGCUGGAGUGUGGUAGGGGCAGAGGGAAUUCCCGGUGUAGCGGUGAAAUGCGUAGAUAUCGGGAAGAACACCAGUGGCGAAGGCGCUCUGCUGGGCCAUAACUGACGCUCAUGGACGAAAGCCAGGGGAGCGAAAGGGAUUAGAUACCCCUGUAGUCCUGGCCGUAAACGAUGAACACUAGGUGUCGGGGGAAUCGACUCCCUCGGUGUCGUAGCCAACGCGUUAAGUGUUCCGCCUGGGGAGUACGCACGCAAGUGUGAAACUCAAAGGAAUUGACGGGGGCCCGCACAAGCGGUGGAGUAUGUGGUUUAAUUCGAUGCAACGCGAAGAACCUUACCAGGGUUUGACAUCCUGCGAACCCCUGAGAAAUCGGGGGGUGCCUUCGGGAGCGCAGAGACAGGUGGUGCAUGGCUGUCGUCAGCUCGUGUCGUGAGAUGUUGGGUUAAGUCCCGCAACGAGCGCAACCCACGUCUUUAGUUGCCAGCAUUCAGUUGGGCACUCUAGAGAGACCGCCGGUGAUAAACCGGAGGAAGGUGCGGAUGACGUCAAGUCGUCAUGCCCCUUACAUCCUGGGCUACACACGUACUACAAUGCUACGGACAAAGGGCAGCAAGCUCGCGAGAGUUAGCAAUCCCAUAAACCGUGGCUCAGUUCAGAUCGUAGGCUGCAACUCGCCUACGUGAAGGAGGAAUCGCUAGUAAUCGCAGGUCAGCAUACU
This 1301-nucleotide ribosomal RNA is filed under the name metagenome. RNAcentral's name for it is "bacterial SSU rRNA". It matches the Rfam family "Bacterial small subunit ribosomal RNA", at positions 8 to 1358 of the family's 1533-position model. The record is from RNAcentral.